CAGCCGCCGCGGUAAUACGUAGGUGGCAAGCGUUGUCCGGAAUUAUUGGGCGUAAAGGGCUCCCAGGCGGUUUCUUAAGUCUGAUGUGAAAGCCCCCGGCUCAACCGGGGAGGGUCAUUGGAAACUGGGAAACUUGAGUGCAGAAGAGGAGAGCGGAAUUCCACGUGUAGCGGUGAAAUGCGUAGAGAUGUGGAGGAACACCAGUGGCGAAGGCGACUCUCUGGUCUGUAACUGACGCUGAGGAGCGAAAGCGUGGGGAGCGAACAGGAUUAGAUACCCCCGUAGUCCCUGUCUCUUAUAC
Molecule: ribosomal RNA, 301 nt
Filed under: uncultured bacterium
Lineage: Bacteria
Description: partial 16S ribosomal RNA
Rfam family: Bacterial small subunit ribosomal RNA
Source: RNAcentral